CCUUCUUUAACAUUAUAGAUUUGAAAUCCGUUUGGUUGCCAAGAAAAGUGACAGUGGAAGUCACCAAAAUCAGUGCAUUUUCAGAUUCAUAUAUACUGGGAAUUCCUCUGUUUUGAUUUGAAUUCUCUAAUACACUGUGGAAGGGCUUGAAGAGUUCCUGAAUCAAUCCAAAUCGAGUCCCCAGCAAUCUCCGGAGAAAACCAUGGACGGAUCACUAAGUAUCCCUCGUACUGCCCGCAGAACCUCGACUCGUAGAAAGCCCAUCCAAUAGAACCAGAAAGCUCACAGCCAUUGACUCAAUUGUCGCCGCGGGGUGAGGAGAGCCGUUUCUAAAGAGAUGGACCAAGAAAAGACUGAGGUGCCUAAAACUCCUGCCUCACCAAACACCUGGAGAAGGGCUUGACUGCUUCUGCUCGACAGAACACCACACAGAAGGAGAAAGUGGGGUGUGAGGUUGAUGACUUUUGUCUUUUUUAGGGUUGGUUUGAGAAGAUGGUGGGAUUUUUUUAGAAAUUGUGAAAAUUUGAAUUAGAAGUUGCAGUGAACUUUAUAUUUGGUGAAAUAAGAGAAGUGCAUGGUUUAAAUAGAAAAAUUCUUUGAAAGUGAAGCUUCUGAUUUUGAGAGGAUUAUCAUUUUAUCAUGUGAUUUUUUUAAUAAACCUUCUACUUUCAGAAAUCACA
Molecule: long non-coding RNA, 680 nt
Organism: Prunus persica (peach)
Lineage: Eukaryota; Viridiplantae; Streptophyta; Magnoliopsida; Rosales; Rosaceae
Exons: 2
Source: RefSeq, a predicted model, not a curated record